AUUGAACGCUGGCGGCAGGCCUAACACAUGCAAGUCGAACGGUAACAGGAAGAAGCUUGCUUCUUUGCUGACGAGUGGCGGACGGGUGAGUAAUGUCUGGGAAACUGCCUGAUGGAGGGGGAUAACUACUGGAAACGGUAGCUAAUACCGCAUAAUGUCGCAAGACCAAAGAGGGGGACCUUCGGGCCUCUUGCCAUCGGAUGUGCCCAGAUGGGAUUAGCUAGUAGGUGGGGUAACGGCUCACCUAGGCGACGAUCCCUAGCUGGUCUGAGAGGAUGAGCAGCCACACUGGAACUGAGACACGGUCCAGACUCCUACGGGAGGCAGCAGUGGGGAAUAUUGGACAAUGGGCGCAAGCCUGAUGCAGCUAUGCCGCGUGUAUGAAGAAGGCCUUCGGGUUGUAAAGUACUUUCAGCGGGGAGGAAGGGAGUAAAGUUAAUACCUUUGCUCAUUGACGUUACCCGAAGAAGAAGCACCGGCUAACUCCGUG
RNAcentral lists this ribosomal RNA (490 nucleotides) under uncultured bacterium. Its description in RNAcentral is "partial 16S ribosomal RNA". It matches the Rfam family "Bacterial small subunit ribosomal RNA", at positions 30 to 507 of the family's 1533-position model. The record is from RNAcentral.